RNAcentral lists this long non-coding RNA (1198 nucleotides) under Homo sapiens (human). RNAcentral's name for it is "HSALNT0012317". The record is from RNAcentral. Lineage: Eukaryota; Metazoa; Chordata; Mammalia; Primates; Hominidae.
AAUGAAGAGAAAGCUAACUUUACAACCGCCCACUUCACAUAUAAUGAAUAUGAAUGGGUAUCCCGGAGCCUGUUUUGUGGGAUUGUCUGUGAGGUGACAGGUCCUCCUACUUACUGGGCCAUCCCAGCCAGCCUGUCCCCUGCCUGGGGCAUGAGCAGCCCUUCCACCUGCUUCUCAUUAGCUGUGUCCCUCCUCCUCCCACACACCCCUAAGACACGGCCCCGUCUCCAGAUAACCCUGCCCUCAGCCUCACUCCAGAGCUAACCUCAGACCUCCGCCCAGGCCAGUGGUUCCUCAAGGCCAGGCCUGUGCUCUGGCCACUCCUUCUGGGAAGGGAAAGGGGAAGGCCCAUCAGUCACAGAUGGGACUUCCCAUCUCACAGCUGUGUGACCAUCAGGAGUACACUGCUGCCUUCCACCCCUGCUGUCCCUAACCAUGCUGGCACAUCAAAAGGCCUGUCCUGAGGCUCAGCAGGUCCCAGGCCAGGCAGGCAUGAACACAAGACCCAAAGAAGGGGAGAUGCUCCCCAGAACAUGUUUCCUUUACAAGUCAAGACCCCUUGGAGAUUUAACAACCUACAAAACAACUGCCUACAGGUAAAAUAAGAGCUUCCAGGAAUUCUAAAAAGGAAACACUCCUUUCACCAGCAUCAAAACACUAAUAUCUUCUCAGGCAGAUGAAACCAGGGGUCUGGAGGCCAAAGUGGAGGCGCCAGGUGUCCACUGACACCUACUACAAAGAUUUUCCUUGCUUUUCUCUCAGCCACAGGGGGCUCCUGGGCCCUCCAACACUUUUUCCCACCGUGAACCUGACUCCUGAUGGUCUGCUUCCUAGGCUCUGAGUACUGAAGUUUCCCCUCAGUCCCAACCACCUGCCCCAGGGAGGACCUAGAGCAGCAGACCCCCUUGCUUUGACCUAGCCCCUCCCUCCAUAGCACUGACACUGGUUUGGCUGAGGCCAGCUCAGUGAUGUGAUCCAGAGAAACCUGGGGCUCCUACUGAAAUUACAGCAAACCCAGGGGUGCAGGACAAUGUGUCAGUAAAGUAACCUAGUGCCCUGGAGUUGGGCUAGAGCAAUCCCAGAUUACUGUGGGGUUAACUUACACUGGAUAAAUGCCAACUCUCUCUCCUCUUCCCCCAGGAUGGGAAAGGCAGGCAGCUUGACAAGGACAAGCGUUGACCAGCAAUGCUAGCAGAAA